Molecule: unclassified non-coding RNA, 299 nt
Filed under: Hevea brasiliensis (rubber tree)
Lineage: Eukaryota; Viridiplantae; Streptophyta; Magnoliopsida; Malpighiales; Euphorbiaceae
Source: RNAcentral
GGUUAUACAGUGAGGUGGCUUGAAAUAUUUAUCAUUUUUGAGGUGCAAUAAGCAUGUCCAAAGUCUAUAGAAGUUAUCUUGGUUCCAAAAAGAUGGGGUUUAGGAAAUAGAAAAGAUACCAAAGAUAUAUGAGUAUUUGGUUGGAGAGAAUCAAUGAAUGUCCUAUAAUUUGCGGUGGCAUCAGGUGUUCUUGGCUUCUCUGUGGGCCUGUGCUACAGGACCUCUUUUAAGGGGUUUCUAUAGGUGUUAUUCAGAUGGAUUGUGCUAUAGAAACUUAACCUCCAUGUUGUACUCUAAAA